UGAAGAAAAUGUUUUAGUUAACCACAAAUAUUGUAAUGCUGGGGUUCUUCUCUUUUUCUUUCCUUCUCCUCCACCCCUUGAAGACAUCCUACACGCAAACAUAAAGAUCUGUUGUUGGACUGUGCUAACAAAGUCCUCCUGGGAAGAAGAGCUGAACCACACAGGCUGUAGCACAUGGGCUUGACAGAGGGACCUGACAAUGCUCAGCAGCGGCAAGACUAAAGCAGGGGAAGAAAAGCCAAUCUCUGGAGAUCUCCCUCCAGCUCUGGAAGGAACAGAGGGAGAUCCGUUUGCUAAUGAUUUCAAUGUUCUUGCUUAAGACCUCUCUGCCAGAGUACCUGGCUGAAGGUUUCCCGUUUGUUGGAUGGUUUGGAAGUUGGCAAUUCAUCGAGAUGAAGUUGUGCAAAGUUGGCCGUUGCUGAAUUUGCAUUUUCUUUCCCAGAGGAGAGAGAGAUCUAGUGUUAAAAACAUUGCUGUGCUGCAUCACUGGGAGCUCCAUGUGUGUCCCUCCCCCCUGCGGGUCACCCCCAUCAUGCAGGAAAGGGCAGGUCUGCCCUUCCUCACCUCUUCUUCCCUGCCAAAGUACUCGGGUGAUGAUUCCCCUCGUCCCUGCUCCGGACAUGGGAUUACAGCUCCAGCUCCUCUUCCCAGUGCAUCAUCAACAUGUUGUUUCCAGGGUCAUAAAUUUGCACUGUGAUGAGACACAACCAGAUGUUAGGAUACGUGAAGCGACUGGCGAAGCAGCCUGCCUGGCGCAGCCCCCACCUCCGGAGUCAGCCGCCCGCUAAUGAGAAGCAGGUCUCUCGCCUCGAGCUGGGCCAGGACAGACGGAGAGCAUCCCCAGGAGCAACCACGGAACUGCCAUCUCGACCCCCUUCCUGCUCUCGGUGCCCGGGGAGCAUCUCCAGGGCUAGAUUCAGGCACUUUGGUGGCUAUUGGCUUCUGGCGGCCAUCUGGAAAGAUAGUUUGGGCCGGU
Molecule: long non-coding RNA, 976 nt
Organism: Falco peregrinus (peregrine falcon)
Lineage: Eukaryota; Metazoa; Chordata; Aves; Falconiformes; Falconidae
Exons: 3
Source: RefSeq, a predicted model, not a curated record